GCGCUUGUAGCUUAACUGGAUAGAGCACCUGACUACGGAUCAGGAGGUUAGGGGUUCGACUCCCUUCAAGCGCA
This 74-nucleotide transfer RNA is filed under the name Sphingobacterium arenae. RNAcentral's name for it is "tRNA-Arg". It matches the Rfam family "tRNA". Rfam says of the family: Transfer RNA (tRNA) molecules are approximately 80 nucleotides in length. Their secondary structure includes four short double-helical elements and three loops (D, anti-codon, and T loops). Lineage: Bacteria; Pseudomonadati; Bacteroidota; Sphingobacteriia; Sphingobacteriales; Sphingobacteriaceae. The record is from RNAcentral. RNAcentral also lists the same sequence under 12 other names.